This 364-nucleotide transfer-messenger RNA is filed under the name Kordiimonas sp. SCSIO 12610. It matches the Rfam family "Alphaproteobacteria transfer-messenger RNA". From Rfam's summary of the family: Bacterial tmRNA, also known as 10Sa RNA or SsrA, is named for its dual tRNA and mRNA-like properties. Its role is to liberate the mRNA from a stalled ribosome. Lineage: Bacteria; Pseudomonadati; Pseudomonadota; Alphaproteobacteria; Kordiimonadales; Kordiimonadaceae. The record is from RNAcentral.
AUACUUUAAUUUCAUAUCAGAAUUUCUUAUAUGAGAGGUGCUGGUUUUCCAGCUAUGGCGAUAAACGGCGCAGUAAGUAAAUAAGACGGACCCGGGGGCGGUACCCGGCACCUCCACCAUAAAGAACCUACCUGUUUAGGGUUCUUUAUGAUGGGGGUGAAAUAGGAUCGACGUGUAUUGAACAGUGUUAGCUUUUCGCUCGGGAUGGUACCGCCGCGAUGGACCAAAUUUUUAUAAAUGCAAACGACAAUGACGUCGAGUUCGCUGUUGCAGCGUAAGCUGUUCCAGUAAACACAUUUAUCAAUUCCUGAGGAUUGACGUCUUCAGGUGGGGGUUGGUCCACCUAGCAACAGAACGGACCAUU